Molecule: ribosomal RNA, 388 nt
Filed under: uncultured bacterium
Lineage: Bacteria
Description: bacterial SSU rRNA
Rfam family: Bacterial small subunit ribosomal RNA
Source: RNAcentral
AUUGAACGCUGGCGGCAUGCCUUACACAUGCAAGUCGAACGGCAGCACGGGAGCAAUCCUGGUGGCGAGUGGCGAACGGGUGAGUAAUAUAUCGGAACGUGCCCAGUCGUGGGGAUAACGUAGCGAAAGUUACGCUAAUACCGCAUACGAUCUAAGGAUGAAAGCGGGGGAUCGCAAGACCUCGCGCGAUUGGAGCGGCCGAUAUCAGAUUAGGUAGUUGGUGAGGUAAAGGCUCACCAAGCCAACGAUCUGUAGCUGGUCUGAGAGGACGACCAGCCACACUGGGACUGAGACACGGCCCAGACUCCUACGGGAGGCAGCAGUGGGGAAUUUUGGACAAUGGGCGCAAGCCUGAUCCAGCAAUGCCGCGUGCAGGAUGAAGGCCUUC